AACGAACGUUGGCGGCGUGGAUAAGGCAUGCAAGUCGAACGAGAAAGGACCCUUCGGGGUCUGAGUAGAGUGGCGAACGGGUGAGUAACGGGUGGGAAACCUGCCUUUGCGUGGGGGAUAACAUUCCUAACGGGGUGCUAAUACCGCAUGAAUCGGCGAGUCGCAUGGCUCGCCGGGAAAGAUGGCCUCUACAUGUAAGCUGUCGCGCGAAGAUGGUCCCGCUUCCCAUUAGCUUGUUGGGGGGUAACGGCCCACCAAGGCCACGAUGGGUAGCCGGCCUGAGAGGGUGUCCGGCCACACUGGGACUGAGAUACGGCCCAGACUCCUACGGGAGGCAGCAGCCUAGAAGCUUCGGCAAUGGGCGAAAGCCUGACCGAGCGACGCCGCGUGAGGGAUGAAGGCCCUAGUGGUUGUAAACCUCUGUCAGGGGGGAAUAAAGCCGUGUAGCGAAUAACUACGCGGGUUGAAGGUACCUCCAAAGGAAGCUCCGGCUAACUCCGUG
This 502-nucleotide ribosomal RNA is filed under the name uncultured bacterium. Its description in RNAcentral is "bacterial SSU rRNA". It matches the Rfam family "Bacterial small subunit ribosomal RNA", at positions 29 to 507 of the family's 1533-position model. The record is from RNAcentral.